Molecule: long non-coding RNA, 555 nt
Organism: Meriones unguiculatus (Mongolian gerbil)
Lineage: Eukaryota; Metazoa; Chordata; Mammalia; Rodentia; Muridae
Exons: 3
Source: RefSeq, a predicted model, not a curated record
CUAGUCCCAAUGCUUUCUGGGAAGUCCUGGGAUCUCUUCGUUGUGCUCUCCAAGCUUGGGAGGCCCAGUGCCUGGUGUGUCCAGUUUGUAUGAUGUUUCUGCCUGGUUUCGGCGUCACUCAUCCCAGCAUCCUGGCCAGAUUUCCAGUAUCAGGAACAAUUUCCCUCCUGUUGAGUGGAUGUUAAGUCCAAUUGGAUGACUGUUGGUUACCAAGAAUAUGUGAUUACCACUUACUGCACCACUAUGCACACCUCUCUACGCUGGAAGAUGUUCCAGGAAUCAAUGAAUAUUGUAUAUUACAUGGCAAAGAGGAUGGACACUGAAAGCUGUGGAUGAAAAGGAACAGGACAGGAGCCUACCCCAAAUGAAAGACUUUCAAGCCAGCAGGGGAUCAAAGCAAAUUCAGAGACUCACACUCAAACUUUGAGCAGAGGGAAGGGUACAAGGACAGAGGGACAAGAGCUCCACAAGGAGACCAACAAAGCCAAAAGGAUUUGGGCCCAGGAGGACCUGCAGAGACUGAUGUAUCAACCAAUGUCGGAACAUGCAGUAAUG